UGUACUAUUUUGAUCAAGUAAAUAUUUUAAUCUCAAAAUAAUGCCUCACUGAAUGUAUAUCUUGAGGAGGAUAUUUGUAUUGCUCAUUUUGCCUUCAUGUUUCUAAUAUUCAGGCUUAAGCUAUCUUCUUGAUGAAAACAGGGUUGAGGAUCUGUCUCUACUCUACCAGCUGCUUAGUAGGGUAGAGUGUGGAGUUCAAGUUCUUCUUCAACAUUGGAUUGAUUAUAUAAAGGAAAAGAUGUUUUCGAAGCCUUCUACAAAAAAUAUUUAGCCAGACGUCUCUUACUUGGUAAGAGUGCUUCAGUUGAUGCAGAAAAAUCAAUGCUGUCCAAACUGAAACAAGGUCAGUCCUUCGCAGAAUUUCUCUUCACCUACAGUGGGGUGUGUUUGGACCUUGUCCAGUGUGUGGCAGUUUUAAGAGGUGAGUUUUGGUCUGGUUGUUAAAAGAGGCUAGAUCUUAUUUCCAAUAGAGUUGACGCCUUGCAGCAGUCUGUGAUCAGUAGUCUUGGUCCUUGUAAGGGGGUUUGUUCUCAUCUUCUGUUUGAGGGUCUUGCCUUGUUGGUUCUCAUGCAGACAAUCUGAGGAAAAAUGAAACUGCAGAGCACAUGGUGGUGGGGCUUGUAAGUGUAUCCAUCCUCCA
Molecule: long non-coding RNA, 640 nt
Filed under: Vulpes vulpes (red fox)
Lineage: Eukaryota; Metazoa; Chordata; Mammalia; Carnivora; Canidae
Description: lncRNA (ENSVVUG00000002232.1)
Source: RNAcentral